GAUGAAGAACGCAGCGAAAUGCGAUAAGUAAUGUGAAUUGCAGAAUUCAGUGAAUCAUCGAAUCUUUGAACGCACAUUGCGCCCGCCAGUAUUCUGGCGGGCAUGCCUGUUCGAGCGUCAUUACAACCCUCAGGCCCCCGGGCCUGGCGUUGGGGAUCGGCGGAGCCCCCCGUGGGCACACGCCGUCCCCCAAAUGCAGUGGCGGUCCCGCCGCAGCUUCCAUCGCGUAGUAGCUAACACCUCGCGACUGGAGAGCGGCGCGGCCACGCCGUAAAACACCCAACUCUUCUGAAGUUGACCUCGCAUCAGGUAGGAAUACCCGCUGAACUUAAGCAUAUCAAUAAGCGGAGGA
This 352-nucleotide unclassified non-coding RNA is filed under the name soil metagenome. Its description in RNAcentral is "partial contains 5.8S ribosomal RNA, internal transcribed spacer 2, and large subunit ribosomal RNA". The stretch from base 1 to 120 matches the Rfam family "5.8S ribosomal RNA", at positions 35 to 154 of the family's 154-position model. The record is from RNAcentral.